RNAcentral lists this ribosomal RNA (460 nucleotides) under uncultured bacterium. Its description in RNAcentral is "partial 16S ribosomal RNA". It matches the Rfam family "Bacterial small subunit ribosomal RNA", at positions 338 to 795 of the family's 1533-position model. The record is from RNAcentral.
CCUACGGGUGGCAGCAGUGAGGAAUAUUGGUCAAUGGGCGUAAGCCUGAACCAGCCAAGUCGCGUGAGGGAUGAAGGUUCUAUGGAUCGUAAACCUCUUUUAUAAGGGAAUAAAGUGUGGGACGUGUCCUGUUUUGUAUGUACCUUAUGAAUAAGGAUCGGCUAACUCCGUGCCAGCAGCCGCGGUAAUACGGAGGAUCCGAGCGUUAUCCGGAUUUAUUGGGUUUAAAGGGUGCGUAGGCGGCCGUUUAAGUCAGCGGUGAAAGUCUGUGGCUCAACCAAAGAAGUGCCGUGGAAACUGGGAGGCUUGAGUAUGUGUGAGGCAGGCGGAAUGCGUGGUGUAGCGGUGAAAUGCUUAGAUAUCACGCAGAACCCCGAUUGCGAAGGCAGCCUGCCAGGCCAUGACUGACGCUGAGGCACGAAAGCGUGGGGAUCAAACAGGAUUAGAUACCCCGGUAGUC